UUUAUUGUUCUUUUUUAAUUCCCUCCUGUUAUUAACACCCCCCCCCCCCCCAUCCCCGCUCUCAGUUUUAUUCCAAGCUACCUGCUGAAUUGCUCAGCGAGUGUUUUCAAAGGCUCCUUGGCCGGCGCCGCAGUCCGCGGGGCCAAAUAUGUGAGCGUGCAUAGCGGAAAGGAACCGGGAGCCUUGCUGGGCGAGCACUUACAGGCGCAAGGAUCAGUGCUAGGUCAUUUGCAGAGUUGGCAAGGAUCUCCCCUCGCCCACAGGUCACUGAGCAAAGUUGUUUUGUGUCCAUGCGCCAGAGCUCCCAGCCUGGGACAUAAUAAGGGGAGGAUCUGGCCCCCAGACAAUCUAGUGAAGUGUCGAUUUUAAGUGUAAAUAACGCAAAACGCCAUGCUCAGGCUUUGCCAGAAAACACCGGAUUUGCUUUUAUGUUUUGUCGGGGACAGGCGGGAACGUAACCAAUUUACCCUCCUGGGCUUUCCUGGUGCUAUCAUUAGCUAACAUGCAAGUUUCCCCAGUCUGUUUCUUACAUUGAGACAAUGCAAGACAUGGUAAGCCUCCUCUGUCUCCCUCCUCUGCUCCCAGAAAAAGAGGGGAAUAUAUUUCUGGCUGUUGCAGAACAUCAUAAGGCUUUCUCACAUCACUUCCAACACAUUCCUCGCCUGCGUUCAUCCAGGAAGAAUGUGCUGCAUUUGAUUUCUGUCUCAGGUCACUCAUCUCACAGCUAUGUGCCAGAAACUGUGUUUCCCUUUGUAGGCCAUGCCAGAGGAACGUCUGCAAUUGAGAAACCUGCUCUCAGCAGUUUAAUUGAUUUCAAUGGACUGUACCUUCAAGACUUUAUCAGAGGAACUUGAAGCCACGCAAAAGCUGUAAAGUAUAUCUGACUUAGGAAGUCAUUGAGGACGCUAUGAAGAAUGCCAAUCUCAUUCAUUGCUGAGGAUGUCUAUUGAACAGAGAGCUAUUUAAUAUAUGGUUUAUCUUCAAUAUGUCCUGGAAUGAAGAAGUCCAUGCUUUAUACUCUCUCCCACAACAUCUGAUUCAGUACAUGUUCUCUUAGGAGAAGGAAGACAGCCAGCAAAAGGAGGGAAAACAAACUGAACAGUGAUUUGAGCCAGAACUCCUACAUCCCCAAGGAACCCUCUAGCUAACAGUAAAGCGUUCCCUCUGAGGCACUGUGAUGUUCACAAGUGAGUUAUUCAAAAGUUGAGAGAUGUUAAAAUUGCUUGAUUUUUGCUCAGUUUGCUAUGUAAAUGCAAUGUGUUGCUUUUUCUGUCUGGACAGCUGGGAGGAAGGCAUCAGAGCAGAGGAAGAUCUGGCUCUCUAAGCAAGUAGUGUGGUCCAGGGUAGCAGUGAAACAGAACCAAGGACCUAGCUUCCAUGCAAUCUGCAUUACGGGGAGUUGCUUUGAAUGAUCUCAAGUCUGGUUCUGUGCAUUGAAUGCCAUUUGGUAUUUGGAGUCCAUUAGGUGCAGUCCUGGAGCACUUCUUAAUUAAUCCUAAAGAUUCACCCUGAAGAUUCAUCCUGAAUUCAGGUGCUCUGAGACAGCUAUUUUAUGCACUCCUGUCCUGAACUGAAAAACAAUGGAGGUACUUUCUUCAAAUCCUGGAAUGCAGAACAGUGCUGUGAAGGAGAAAACCAGGAGAAAAAGAACUGCUACAGCAAGUACAUCUUUGAGGACCCUAAGAAGAUCAGGGGGCCAACAAGCAGCAGGGAGCAGAAGCAGAGUUCAAAUUCCAAGGGCACAGAAAGAAAGACACCUUUAUAGGAACAAAGAAGAGUCUACAUUCUUGAUGCAAGAAGCCAUUGGGAGUUGCUGAAAUGGAAAGAAGGACUGAUGGAAAAGAUAACCUCUAUGCUGAGAUCUAGUGGACAGAUGGUAGUCUUGUAUUCAUGCUGUUUAUUUAAGUGUCUCCCUGCCACCAGAUACACAUUUUAACUACUGACAGAGCUAUCUUUGUCUAGCUUGUUACUUCUGUGUUAGAAGAGAAAUUAAUUUUGUAAAUGGGAAGUCUGGUAUGCCUUUUUGUGUUUUCAACAAAUACUAGCAAGCCUAUGUGUUAGGGUUUCUGGAUCUCAGUCAUUUUAAAGAAGUAGUUUCAAGAUAUGCAUUCAGUCUGCAGUCAUUUUCUUUUGCUUAUGCUGCUGCUUAUUCUUCUGAUUUCAGUGAAAGAACUAGCAGGAACAAGAUAGAUUUGUGGACUAUUUUUCUAUGUCAUUUUUCACAUAUGAUUUCACCCACAGGCUUUCCACCAG
Long non-coding RNA from Oxyura jamaicensis (ruddy duck), 2253 nucleotides. RefSeq lists it as uncharacterized. Lineage: Eukaryota; Metazoa; Chordata; Aves; Anseriformes; Anatidae. The record is from RefSeq and is a predicted model, not a curated record. The transcript has 8 exons.